AUUGAACGCUGGCGGCAGGCCUAACACAUGCAAGUCGAGCGAGCGGCGGAAGGGUGAGUAAUGCCUAGGAAUCUGCCUGGUAGUGGGGGAUAACGUCCGGAAACGGGCGCUAAUACCGCAUACAAUCUGAUGUGCCCAGAUGGGAUUAGGUUGAUGGUGGGGUAACGGCUCACAAAGGCGACGAUCCCUAGCUGGUCUGAGAGGAUGACCAGCCACAGUGGGACUGAGACACGGUCCAGACUCCUACGGGAGGCAGCAGUGGGGAAUAUUGCACAAUGGGCGCAAGCCUGAUGGAGCCAUGCCGCGUGAAUGAAGAAGGCCUUCGGGUUGUAAAGUACUGUCGGCGGGGAAGCGUUACCCGAAGAAAAAGCCCCGGCUAACUCCGUGCCAGCAGCCGCGGUAAUUC
Molecule: ribosomal RNA, 406 nt
Filed under: uncultured bacterium
Lineage: Bacteria
Description: partial 16S ribosomal RNA
Rfam family: Bacterial small subunit ribosomal RNA
Source: RNAcentral